GCUGGGCGCGGUGGCUCAUGCCUGUAAUCCCAGCACUUUGGGAGGCUGAGGCGGGUGGAUCACCUGAGGUCAGGAGUUCGAGACCAGCCUGGCCAACAUGGUGAAACCCCGUCUCUA
Unclassified non-coding RNA from Macaca mulatta (Rhesus monkey), 117 nucleotides. It matches the Rfam family "Metazoan signal recognition particle RNA". Rfam says of the family: The signal recognition particle (SRP) is a universally conserved ribonucleoprotein. It is involved in the co-translational targeting of proteins to membranes. The eukaryotic SRP consists of a 300-nucleotide 7S RNA and six proteins: SRPs 72, 68, 54, 19, 14, and 9. The record is from Ensembl. NCBI's taxonomy places the organism in Eukaryota, Metazoa, Chordata, Mammalia, Primates, Cercopithecidae.